Molecule: long non-coding RNA, 358 nt
Organism: Drosophila innubila
Lineage: Eukaryota; Metazoa; Arthropoda; Insecta; Diptera; Drosophilidae
Exons: 2
Source: RefSeq, a predicted model, not a curated record
CGACGGUUGAUUUUUAAAAAAUGCAUAGAGAUCACGAUGGGUUUGUUGGUCACUCGUUGCCAAGAGAGAUCCCCCAAUCACGAUCAUCAUAAGCGUAUGAAAAAUGUCAUAAAACACAACAACAUCAACUGAAGAUGAUGCUUAUGCCAUGAAAUGAUCAUAAAGUUCAAGAUAAAGCGGAGACACAGACAAAGUUUUAUGUAAAACAAGACCAAGAUUGGUGAGGCAAAUGGAAUUGUGGGUACACUGACCGAAACUCUUCUUCAAUCUAAUAUAUCUGAAAUAUAAAUAACAAACAUAAAAUACAAAAUAAAAGCUUAUAAUUAUAUGCACCAAAUAAGACUGCAAUAAAUAUUCA